GUAUCCUACGGGGCGCAGCAGUGGGGAAUAUUGCACAAUGGGGGAAACCCUGAUGCAGCGACGCCGCGUGAGUGAAGAAGUAUUUCGGUAUGUAAAGCUCUAUCAGCAGGAACGAGACAAGACGGUACCUGACUAAGAAGCCCCGGCUAACUACGUGCCAGCAGCCGCGGUAAUACGUAGGGGGCAAGCGUUAUCCGGAAUCACUGGGUGUAAAGGGAGCGUAGGCGGGAA
This 231-nucleotide ribosomal RNA is filed under the name uncultured bacterium. Its description in RNAcentral is "partial 16S ribosomal RNA". It matches the Rfam family "Bacterial small subunit ribosomal RNA", at positions 334 to 581 of the family's 1533-position model. The record is from RNAcentral.